Long non-coding RNA from Mya arenaria, 1275 nucleotides. RefSeq lists it as uncharacterized. The transcript is spliced from 8 exons. The record is from RefSeq and is a predicted model, not a curated record. NCBI's taxonomy places the organism in Eukaryota, Metazoa, Mollusca, Bivalvia, Myida, Myidae.
CUUCCGUGUUUUUUCUUCCGUCGAUCACAAUUAACUGAUACAGUUAUACAGUUGUUGUAAUUGGUGCUGGUUUAUUAAGAUGCAUCGUUUUCACAUAUUAAAAUUCGGUUUGGCGACGAUACUGCAGCAAUGUCUGGCGGCGCCAUAUACGUGCUACCACAAGAAAACGUGUCUAGGUUCCACGUGUCUCACGGACGCCAUAACUAAUGGAAUUGUGGACAAGUGUGCUGCCACGGAAGCGUACGGCUGUUUUUUCGACAUUACACAGCCUAAACAGGAAUCGGCAGCUUCCUCAAGCGAGGUGAAGGUGGUCGCCAAGUGCGCCUUUGAGCCGUGCAUGUCCAUAGCGGAGGUGACGUCAUCAGCCGUCCAUAUCCGCCAGUGAUGCUUCUCUGAGUUUUGCAACUCGAACAUAACAGUGGCAUCAGUUGGAGUCAACCAGUGUAACGUGGUCAACUGUUAUGGCUCGAGAUCGUCGAACAGUACGUGUUUUGAUGACGUCUUCCGAGCAGGCCACGCGGCGACGUGUAACAUGGAUAACGCAAGGGGAUGCUUCUUUUCUGCCUUGAACCACGGGAACAUGACGUCGAUACACGCAGGUUGUGCUAGUGACACGUGCACCUCGAAACAAGACAGCACGACACGCAACCUGUGCUGCAACUUCCACAAGUGCAACAACGGAACGGACUAUCCGGUGAUAUCGGCAGCCAGUUUGGACAACAGAGCCGCUACGGCCUGGAUGAUGAUUUUCACAAUUUCAGACCGUUUACUCAGACUUUGUCAGAGAUGAUACAAAUGUACAUCACAUUAAAUGGAAAUGUACUGAUCUAGUUGCAAUCGCACUUACAUGCUCGUCAGAAUGUCCUGUUUGAAAAGCUGAGAAUAUCAUGCAAAUUGUUCACGAACUAUUGUUUAUAUAUGUGUUUCAUUUUAAUGAAUAAAUUAUAUAAAAACAAUAACACACAUGAGCAUCGUACGCGGAUGUUAACCCUUGUCCACUUAGCUCGUCCUAUCAAGUGACAACAAUCCAGAUAGUUAGGCUGGACUGCCAUUGUGAAUAUGUGUACAGGUUUUAAGCGAAUAUCUUGGAACGAUUUCAAAGCUAUGGCUAACAAGCGUUCGAACGCAGCAAACGACCACCAAGCCUGCAGACUAUGACAACGUCACGGGUGUUUCCUACUUGACUCUGACCACGGGUCAUCACAUGUAUCAACCGCGCUUUUUCGUUACAUUUCAUUUCUGUUGGUUACAAUACAUGAAAUAAAUAAAUUGUCC